UGUGGAAGCUGAACUAAUGGAUGCGUGCAGAUCAAGUGUCUGCCCGUGGUGUCAGCCUUCCUAUAUUAACACUGGAGAUCUCUGUCUGGCCCUGCACAGCGUACACACGGGUCAGAUCGUUCCUCUCCACACAAC
Rana temporaria (common frog) is the source of this 135-nucleotide non-coding RNA. RefSeq annotates it as small Cajal body-specific RNA 3. The transcript has a single exon. Lineage: Eukaryota; Metazoa; Chordata; Amphibia; Anura; Ranidae. The record is from RefSeq and is a predicted model, not a curated record.